Molecule: transfer RNA, 66 nt
Filed under: Lottia goshimai
Lineage: Eukaryota; Metazoa; Mollusca; Gastropoda; Lottiidae
Description: tRNA-Met
Source: RNAcentral
GCAAAGGUAGGUUAAUUAAAUCAGAGGACUCAUAACCCUCAGUUGCCUAAUAGAAGGCUCUUUGCA